Molecule: ribosomal RNA, 366 nt
Filed under: uncultured organism
Description: bacterial SSU rRNA
Rfam family: Bacterial small subunit ribosomal RNA
Source: RNAcentral
CGUAGGGGGCAAACGUUGUCCGGAUUUACUGGGUGUAAAGGGUGCUCAGGCGGUUUUGUAAGUCAGAAGUGAAAUCCUAGGGCUUAACUCUGGAACUGCUUUUGAUACUGCAAGGCUUGAAUAUGGAAGAGGAGGGCGGAAUUUCUGGUGUAGCAGUGAAAUGCGUAGAUAUCAGAAAGAACACCAGUGGCGAAGGCGGCCCUCUGGUCCAUUAUUGACGCUAAAGCACGAAAGCGUGGGGAGCAAACAGGAUUAGAUACCCUGGUAGUCCACGCCUUAAACGAUGAAUACUAGACGUUGGGGUUAAACUCAGUGUCGCAGCUAACGCAUUAAGUAUCCCACCUGGGGAGUACGAUCGCAAGGUUG